GGCGAGGAUACCUUUUCUCUGUAAGACUUUUUCGAAGAGUCGAGUUGUUUGGGAAUGCAGCUCAAAGUGGGUGGUAAAUUCCAUCUAAAGCUAAAUAUUGGCGAGAGACCGAUAGCGAACAAGUACAGUGAUGGAAAGAUGAAAAGAACUUUGAAAAGAGAGUGAAAAAGUACGUGAAAUUGUUGAAAGGGAAGGGCAUUUGAUCAGACAUGGUGUUUUUUGCAUGCACUCGCCUCUCGUGGGCUUGGGCCUCUCAAAAAUUUCACUGGGCCAACAUCAAUUCUGGCAGCAGGAUAAAUCAUUAAGAAUGUAGCUACUUCGGUAGUGUUAUAGCUUUUUGGAAUACUGUUAGCCGGGAUUGAGGACUGCGCUUCGGCAAGGAUGUUGGCAUAAUGGUUAAAUGCCGCCCGUCU
Molecule: ribosomal RNA, 413 nt
Filed under: Hanseniaspora sp.
Lineage: Eukaryota; Fungi; Ascomycota; Saccharomycetes; Saccharomycodales; Saccharomycodaceae
Description: eukaryotic LSU rRNA
Rfam family: Eukaryotic large subunit ribosomal RNA
Source: RNAcentral